UAGAGUUUGAUCCUGGCUCAGAACUAACGCUGGCGGCGCGUCUUAAGCAUGCAAGUCGGACGGGAACCUUGGGCCGCAAGGCUUGAGGUGAGAGUGGCGAACGGGUGAGUAACACGUAGGUGAUCUGCCUUGGGGUGGGGAAUAGCCCAUGGAAACAUGGGGUAAUACCGCAUGAGGUCUUGGCCUUUUGGGGCUUUGAUGAAAGGAGCAAUUGCUCCGCCUGGGGAUGAGCCUGCGGUCCAUUAGCUAGUUGGUGAGGUAAGGGCCCACCAAGGCGACGAUGGAUAGCCGGCCUGAGAGGGUGAACGGCCACACUGGAACUGAGACACGGUCCAGACUCCUACGGGAGGCAGCAGCUAAGAAUCUUCGGCAAUGGCCUAACGGCUGACCGAGCGACGCCGCGUGGACGAAGAAGGCCGCAAGGUUGCAAAGUCCUUUUCUUGACGAAGAAUAAGGCAGGGAGUGGAAUGCCCUGCUGA
Molecule: ribosomal RNA, 479 nt
Filed under: uncultured bacterium
Lineage: Bacteria
Description: bacterial SSU rRNA
Rfam family: Bacterial small subunit ribosomal RNA
Source: RNAcentral